AUUGAACGCUGGCGGCAUGCCUUACACAUGCAAGUCGAACGGCAGCACGGGUGCUUGCACCUGGUGGCGAGUGGCGAACGGGUGAGUAAUACAUCGGAACAUGUCCUGUAGUGGGGGAUAGCCCGGCGAAAGCCGGAUUAAUACCGCAUACGAUCCACGGAUGAAAGCGGGGGACCUUCGGGCCUCGCGCUAUAGGGUUGGCCGAUGGCUGAUUAGCUAGUUGGUGGGGUAAAGGCCUACCAAGGCGACGAUCGGUAGCUGGUCUGAGAGGACGACCAGCCACACUGGGACUGAGACACGGCCCAGACUCCUACGGGAGGCAGCAGUGGGGAAUUUUGGACAAUGGGCGAAAGCCUGAUCCAGCAAUGCCGCGUGUGUGAAGAAGGCCUUCGGGUUGUAAAGCACUUUUGUCCGGAAAGAAAUCCUUGGCUCUAAUACAGUCGGGGGAUGACGGUACCGGAAGAAUAAGCACCGGCUAACUACGUG
This 486-nucleotide ribosomal RNA is filed under the name uncultured bacterium. RNAcentral's name for it is "partial 16S ribosomal RNA". It matches the Rfam family "Bacterial small subunit ribosomal RNA", at positions 30 to 507 of the family's 1533-position model. The record is from RNAcentral.